Molecule: non-coding RNA, 534 nt
Organism: Python bivittatus (Burmese python)
Lineage: Eukaryota; Metazoa; Chordata; Lepidosauria; Squamata; Pythonidae
Source: RefSeq, a predicted model, not a curated record
ACUUGUUUGGUCCUGUUACAGGUACUGGGGGCAAACGCUGGAGCAGAGGGCAGAAAAUGGCUUGCAUGUGCGGCGGGUGUGCAGAUCAUGCCAAGGGCAAGACAGCUUCCAGGAGGAAAGACGAUGAGGUGGAUUGGCGCUUGGGAGUUGGACCUGGCGGUUCAUAAAAGCCUGUUCCAAGUUGACUUAACUGUCUGGAAGCGUUCGAUGCUUGGAGAGCAUGUCAUUACCUUUUCAUAGACGUCAAGGCUAGUAGCUCAUCCUGCAAGGAGUAACGGUGCCAUGUGGUGACCCUCCGUUUUCUUUCUGAAGAGGGCCAUCUGCUGGUGAAGUGGAUGGCUCAGAGAAUGACGACAGUGUAAAUGUCUUCAGAGAUUUCCUUGGAAUUUGCCAUAGAUAUGCUGAAAAAGCCAAGGGCUUGCUGAAGAUAGGAAAAAGCCUCCAGCAACAAUUUCUGAAAUUUCCUAACAGCUGUCUGAUAUGGUUGUGUUUUUCUGUAGUUGUAUGGAUUAAAAAGAUUUUGUUUCUUUUCAA